GGUGGCGUAGCUCAGUUGGUAGAGCAGCGGACUGAAAAUCCGCGUGUCGCUGGUUCGAUUCCGGCCGCCACCA
RNAcentral lists this transfer RNA (73 nucleotides) under Pirellulales bacterium. RNAcentral describes it as "tRNA-Phe". It matches the Rfam family "tRNA". Rfam says of the family: Transfer RNA (tRNA) molecules are approximately 80 nucleotides in length. Their secondary structure includes four short double-helical elements and three loops (D, anti-codon, and T loops). Lineage: Bacteria; Pseudomonadati; Planctomycetota; Planctomycetia; Pirellulales. The record is from RNAcentral.